This 497-nucleotide ribosomal RNA is filed under the name uncultured bacterium. RNAcentral describes it as "partial 16S ribosomal RNA". It matches the Rfam family "Bacterial small subunit ribosomal RNA", at positions 28 to 507 of the family's 1533-position model. The record is from RNAcentral.
GAUGAACGCUGGCGGCGUGCCUAAUACAUGCAAGUCGAGCGAACAGACGAGGAGCUUGCUCCUCUGACGUUAGCGGCGGACGGGUGAGUAACACGUGGAUAACCUACCUAUAAGACUGGGAUAACUUCGGGAAACCGGAGCUAAUACCGGAUAAUAUAUUGAACCGCAUGGUUCAAUAAUGAAAGACGGUUUUGCUGUCACUUAUAGAUGGAUCCGCGCCGCAUUAGCUAGUUGGUAAGGUAACGGCUUACCAAGGCGACGAUGCGUAGCCGACCUGAGAGGGUGAUCGGCCACACUGGAACUGAGACACGGUCCAGACUCCUACGGGAGGCAGCAGUAGGGAAUCUUCCGCAAUGGGCGAAAGCCUGACGGAGCAACGCCGCGUGAGUGAUGUAGGUCUUCGGAUCGUAAAACUCUGUUAUUAGGGAAGAACAAAUGUGUAAGUAACUAUGCACGUCUUGACGGUACCUAAUCAGAAAGCCACGGCUAACUACGUG